Molecule: ribosomal RNA, 466 nt
Filed under: uncultured bacterium
Lineage: Bacteria
Description: partial 16S ribosomal RNA
Rfam family: Bacterial small subunit ribosomal RNA
Source: RNAcentral
GAUGAACGCUGGCGGCGUGCUUAACACAUGCAAGUCGAACGAUGACCCCGUUCUUGCACGGGUGAUUAGUGGCGAACGGGUGAGUAACACGUGAGUAACCCGCCCCCGACUUUGGGAUAAGCCCGGGAAACUGGGUCUAAUACCGGAUAUGACUCUUUACCGCAUGGUGGGUUGUUGAAAGAUUUAUCGGUGGGGGAUGGACUCGCGGCCUAUCAGCUUGUUGGUGAGGUAAUGGCUCACCAAGGCGGCGACGGGUAGCCGGCCUGAGAGGGUGACCGGCCACACUGGGACUGAGACACGGCCCAGACUCCUACGGGAGGCAGCAGUGGGGAAUAUUGCACAAUGGGCGAAAGCCUGAUGCAGCGACGCCGCGUGAGGGAUGACGGCCUUCGGGUUGUAAACCUCUUUCAGUAGGGAAGAAGCGAAAGUGACGGUACCUGCAGAAGAAGCGCCGGCUAACUACGUG